AAUUUGCAGACUUGACACUAAAUUGACACGGGAGUACAAACUGAAACUGAACUGAAUUGACAUGAGUAAUAAAUUCUGACCAUGCAGUAAUGACCAAAUGCUGUUCAGAAUGUCAAGGAGUACAAACUGGAAGGAGUAAUGCUGAAUAAAAUUCUGUAACAAUGUUGUACAAAUCCUGAACAAACUGAAACUGUAUACGAUUCAAUUUUCAAACUAAAUUCAGUUUAGUCAUGAUCAUGCUUUGGAACUAAAUUGAAACUGAACUUGCUGUGUAACCCUAAAUGGACUCCAGAAACAGGAGUAAACUUGAGCAUAAUGAAGAGUGGAAAUGACCAAAUGAACUUGUACUCCUAAAUUCCUUUUUUUAUAUAUAAAGAGAGCAUGGUAGAAUGUGAAGGUGUGGCAGGACAACUGGAUACCAAGGAGUGGUAGCAAAAUUCCCCCACUGCUCUAAAAAAAAUCUCCAGUUUGGCCACCUGCUUGUGUCGAGUCAAGAAAAGCUCUAACGAGCACACGCAGUGGAAGAAGCAGAAGGAACACAUAUAUAUGCACGAAUGCAGUGAUUUCUUAGACUAGUAAAAAGGAUAUCCUCCAAGCUCUAGCAACUGCUUUGUCUCUGCCAUCAGAUCCUCCAUAAAAACUCUCUUUGCCCCGACAUCAG
RNAcentral lists this long non-coding RNA (661 nucleotides) under Hordeum vulgare. RNAcentral describes it as "long non-coding RNA (HVUL_LNC020755)". Lineage: Eukaryota; Viridiplantae; Streptophyta; Magnoliopsida; Poales; Poaceae. The record is from RNAcentral.